Molecule: ribosomal RNA, 253 nt
Filed under: uncultured microorganism
Description: partial 16S ribosomal RNA
Rfam family: Bacterial small subunit ribosomal RNA
Source: RNAcentral
UACGGAGGGUGCGAGCGUUAAUCGGAAUUACUGGGCGUAAAGCGUGCGCAGGCGGUUUGUUAAGCGAGAUGUGAAAGCCCCGGGCUCAACCUGGGAACCGCAUUUCGAACUGGCAAACUAGAGUCUUGUAGAGGGGGGUAGAAUUCCAGGUGUAGCGGUGAAAUGCGUAGAGAUCUGGAGGAAUACCGGUGGCGAAGGCGGCCCCCUGGACAAAGACUGACGCUCAUGCACGAAAGCGUGGGGAGCAAACAGG